RNAcentral lists this transfer RNA (71 nucleotides) under Podarcis lilfordi (Lilford's wall lizard). It matches the Rfam family "tRNA". From Rfam's summary of the family: Transfer RNA (tRNA) molecules are approximately 80 nucleotides in length. Their secondary structure includes four short double-helical elements and three loops (D, anti-codon, and T loops). Further hydrogen bonds mediate the characteristic L-shaped molecular structure. tRNAs have two regions of fundamental functional importance: the anti-codon, which is responsible for specific mRNA codon recognition, and the 3' end, to which the tRNAs corresponding amino acid is attached (by aminoacyl-tRNA synthetases). tRNAs cope with the degeneracy of the genetic code in two manners: having more than one tRNA (with a specific anti-codon) for a particular amino acid; and 'wobble' base-pairing, i.e. permitting non-standard base-pairing at the 3rd anti-codon position. The record is from Rfam by way of RNAcentral. Lineage: Eukaryota; Metazoa; Chordata; Lepidosauria; Squamata; Lacertidae.
AGGGAUGUAGCUCAGUGGUAGAACAUCUGCCUGCAUGCAGAAGGUCUCAGUUUCAAUCCUUGGCACUCCCA